Long non-coding RNA from Varroa destructor (honeybee mite), 281 nucleotides. RefSeq lists it as uncharacterized. The record is from RefSeq and is a predicted model, not a curated record. Lineage: Eukaryota; Metazoa; Arthropoda; Arachnida; Mesostigmata; Varroidae.
AGAUAUACGUAGUUCAGUCAAAAAAAAAUUAGACUUCAAUAGAGCUAUUUUAUCAUGUCAGAGGAGCUGCGCAAAGAGAAAACUAUCCUCUCCUGUAUCUUCUGUCUUCUACUACGCUCUAUCAAUAACUUCGUGAUACUGCGACUUGAGAUACGUAUGUUUAAGAAAUACUCCGAAUUUAGGAAGGUUUUACUUGGCUUUAACGUACAGAAUGUAUGUGCAGAUUAACAGGCUAGAUGAGAAAAUACUUUCCCAUGCAUGCUUCGACGAAUGUAAGAGGA